Molecule: long non-coding RNA, 924 nt
Filed under: Mustela putorius furo (domestic ferret)
Lineage: Eukaryota; Metazoa; Chordata; Mammalia; Carnivora; Mustelidae
Description: lncRNA (ENSMPUG00000027299.1)
Source: RNAcentral
CAGGGAGGCCCCCUUUUGGUCUGUUUAGGCCUUCUACUGAUUGGGUGAGGCCCACCCACAUUAUGGAGGGUAAUCUUUUUUUGAAAUCUGAUCUUUCUUUCUUUCUUUUAAAUGAUAGUAGGAUGGGAGAAACUUUGGAGAUGAUUUGGGUCAUAAACCACAGGGGGAGCCUCAUGAAUGGGAUUAGUGUCCUUAUAAAAAGAUCCCCAAAGAACUCUCUUAUUUUCUUUUCCUCAUGUCACACAGUCAGAAGACAGCAAUCUGUGACACAGAAGAGGGCCCUCACCCAACCAUGCCGGCAUCCUGAUCUCAGACUUUCAGCCUCCAAAACUUAAUGUAUUCCCCAGAAGAAGUACAGAGAAUAUGGAAGGAAGAUGGGAGACAGCUAGUUGAACCCCGCAGCUCAAGGUUGGCUUAGCAGGGCUAUUUCAGCUCUGGGAGACACUGCCUUCACAUCGGGACACUCAUCCUGUUAACAUCACUUAAAAAUCACCCAGCAAGGAAUGCCUGUGUGGCUCAGUUGGUUAAGCCUCUGCCUUCGGCUCCUUCAUGAUCCCAGGGUCCUGGGAUUGUGUUCCACAUUGGGCUCCUUGCUCAAUAGGGAGCCUGCUCUGCCUGUAGCUCUCCGUAUUUCUGCUCUCCCUGACAGAUAAAUAAAUAAAAGUCUUUAAAAAAAAAAAAAAGCAUCCAGAAAAUUUUGUCUUCUAUUUUAUUAUGUGACUUUUUCGAAUCUUACGUUGUUUAAUCCAAUCUAUGCUUUAUCUCCAUUGCUCUUAGAACUUGUAUUUUUUUUUCAUUUUCCCUUUGACCCCCUUCACCCAUUUCACCAUCAAAGUUUCCUGAUUUAAAUGUAAAUCUCAUCCAAAACCACCCUCAUAGAAACAUCCAGAAUAUUUGACCAAAUAUCUGGAUAUUGUGGCCCAG